UCGAACGAGAUGAUACUAGUGUUGGAGGGUUUCCGCCCUUCAGUGCUGCAGCUAACGCAUUAAGUAAUCCGCCUGGGGAGUACGACCGCAAGGUUGAAACUCAAAAGAAUUGACGGGGGCCCGCACAAGCGGUGGAGCAUGUGGUUUAAUUCGAAGCUACGCGAAGAACCUUACCAGGUCUUGACAUCUUCUGACAGUCUAAGAGAUUAGAGGUUCCCUUCGGGGACAGAAUGACAGGUGGUGCAUGGUUGUCGUCAGCUCGUGUCGUGAGAUGUUGGGUUAAGUCCCGCAACGAGCGCAACCCUUAUUACUAGUUGCCAGCAUUAAGUUGGGCACUCUAGUGAGACUGCCGGUGACAAACCGGAGGAAGGUGGGGACGACGUCAAAUCAUCAUGCCCCUUAUGACCUGGGCUACACACGUGCUACAAUGGAUGGUACAACGAGUCGCGAAACCGCGAGGUUAAGCUAAUCUCUUAAAACCAUUCUCAGUUCGGACUGUAGGCUGCAACUCGCCUACACGAAGUCGGAAUCGCUAGUAAUCGCGGAUCAGCAUGCCGCGGUGAAUACGUUCCCGGGCCUUGUACACACCGCCCGUCACACCAUGAGAGUUUGUAACACCCAAAGCCGGUGGGGUAACCUUUUAGGAGCUAGCCGUCUAAGGUGGGACAGAUGAUUAGGGUGAAGUCGUCAAAGGGGUAACAAAAAGGGAAAAAAAAAAAAGCCCCCGGGUUAAAAGCUUUGGGGUUUGG
Molecule: ribosomal RNA, 749 nt
Filed under: Pediococcus pentosaceus
Lineage: Bacteria; Bacillati; Bacillota; Bacilli; Lactobacillales; Lactobacillaceae
Description: bacterial SSU rRNA
Rfam family: Bacterial small subunit ribosomal RNA
Source: RNAcentral